This 827-nucleotide ribosomal RNA is filed under the name Salmonella enterica subsp. enterica serovar Muenchen. Its description in RNAcentral is "bacterial SSU rRNA". It matches the Rfam family "Bacterial small subunit ribosomal RNA", at positions 61 to 877 of the family's 1533-position model. Lineage: Bacteria; Pseudomonadati; Pseudomonadota; Gammaproteobacteria; Enterobacterales; Enterobacteriaceae. The record is from RNAcentral.
GUCGAACGGUAACAGGAAGCAGCUUGCUGCUUUGCUGACGAGUGGCGGACGGGUGAGUAAUGUCUGGGAAACUGCCUGAUGGAGGGGGAUAACUACUGGAAACGGUGGCUAAUACCGCAUAACGUCGCAAGACCAAAGAGGGGGACCUUCGGGCCUCUUGCCAUCAGAUGUGCCCAGAUGGGAUUAGCUUGUUGGUGAGGUAACGGCUCACCAAGGCGACGAUCCCUAGCUGGUCUGAGAGGAUGACCAGCCACACUGGAACUGAGACACGGUCCAGACUCCUACGGGAGGCAGCAGUGGGGAAUAUUGCACAAUGGGCGCAAGCCUGAUGCAGCCAUGCCGCGUGUAUGAAGAAGGCCUUCGGGUUGUAAAGUACUUUCAGCGGGGAGGAAGGUGUUGUGGUUAAUAACCGCAGCAAUUGACGUUACCCGCAGAAGAAGCACCGGCUAACUCCGUGCCAGCAGCCGCGGUAAUACGGAGGGUGCAAGCGUUAAUCGGAAUUACUGGGCGUAAAGCGCACGCAGGCGGUCUGUCAAGUCGGAUGUGAAAUCCCCGGGCUCAACCUGGGAACUGCAUUCGAAACUGGCAGGCUUGAGUCUUGUAGAGGGGGGUAGAAUUCCAGGUGUAGCGGUGAAAUGCGUAGAGAUCUGGAGGAAUACCGGUGGCGAAGGCGGCCCCCUGGACAAAGACUGACGCUCAGGUGCGAAAGCGUGGUGAGCAGACAGGAUUAGAUACCCUGGUAGUCCACGCCGUAAACGAUGUCUACUUGGAGGUUGUGCCCUUGAGGCGUGGCUUCCGGAGCUAACGCGUUAAGUAGACCGCCUGGG